UAUGAUGAGUCCCAUUUAAUAGACCAAUUAUACUAAAAUCAGCUCAAGUUUACAACUAUGAGUUAUUUAACCACACAUUUUGCAAAACCACACAUUUUGCAAGCCCUAAAAUACUUGCAUAUAUGGGGUCAAAUAGGUACUCAGAAUUGCAAUAAAAAAUGAUUUUCUAAUGUGUGUAAAUUUGCACUCGUUAAGAUUCAUUUAAUGCAGCCCGAUAACUACAAUUUUCAAUUCAUUAAAUGUAAUUUGCACCCAUUUAGCA
Molecule: unclassified non-coding RNA, 262 nt
Filed under: Hevea brasiliensis (rubber tree)
Lineage: Eukaryota; Viridiplantae; Streptophyta; Magnoliopsida; Malpighiales; Euphorbiaceae
Source: RNAcentral